Molecule: long non-coding RNA, 378 nt
Filed under: Helianthus annuus (common sunflower)
Lineage: Eukaryota; Viridiplantae; Streptophyta; Magnoliopsida; Asterales; Asteraceae
Description: sRNA HanXRQr2_Chr11g0518031
Source: RNAcentral
GAUCGGUUGCAACUGAGACGAGAUCCUAGCAGUACAUGGUGGUCAAGGUUGGUUCCGACAACCCGAUUCCGAUUUAGCGGCCGUAUGUAUAUUUUUCGAGAACAAAGUUCUGGAGGCUUUAAUGAUGAUUCUAACAGCUGUAGUAACGAUUUGCGACAUCGUAAGGGGCUAUUAACGGAUAUUUGUUAUGUGAAAGAAUAGGUGGUGUUCAUAUUGGGUUGAGUUAGGGCACAAUAAGUGGGUGAUUCAGGACAUUUGUUUUGGUGUAAUUGUUGAUGUGUGUGACCUCAUCGAUGGCUGAUUAAGGGCUGGUGUGAGUGGGAAAUUGAUGGCGAUCGCAAACAGAGGUCAACAUGUUACAGCACAGCUUGGUUAGCG